UCCUCCUCUGCAUCAGGUCUACUUGGCCCCCCAGAGGCCCCUUGCUCCUCCUCUCCAUCAGGUCUAUGCGGCCCCCCAGAGGCCUCUUGCCCCUCUGCAUCAGGCCUAUGUGGCCCCUCAGCGGCCCUCUGCAUCCUUCAAGCCACAGGUCCUGAGUGUCCGUCCGGAGGCCAGUUGGAAGAGGUUCGGGCCCCCUGGGGGACGGUAGCAGGUGCAGCAGGAGUUCUGGGAUGAAUGUCUGGUGUUUUUGAAUAAUAAAAAAAUAAUUUCCA
Molecule: long non-coding RNA, 272 nt
Organism: Pseudoliparis swirei
Lineage: Eukaryota; Metazoa; Chordata; Actinopteri; Perciformes; Liparidae
Exons: 2
Source: RefSeq, a predicted model, not a curated record